UGCUCAUUUGGAUCAGAUGGCAGUUAGAGGUCUAAGAGAUGCAAAUAAGCACGCAUCUCAUACAUUCAUAAAAAUGAUGGGGAAAAAAUGGGGGGAAAGGGGAGUUUAUUCUGCAUCAAAGCUAGUAGUGAGUGAAACAAACAAUAAACUAUGUUUAUAAGUUAUGCCCUUCAAUCAAACAACACUCUUGAAAAAACACAUUUUCACGUCAACACAGUUUAUAGACACAUAUUCUCACUGUAAUAAUAAAUUAUCGGCAAUCACCUCAUAUUUAGGUCCCUCCAUUAAAUUUAUGUUGCGACAUGAGACUUUUUGUUAACCAAAUUGCUGUUUCUCUCGACGAGACCACUUCUUCCCCAAAUGGCUUUAACACACCAGCAAGCUCAUCAAUUUUGUCCUGUUUAAGUAGCCGUGCACAUAGCUCAAGCAAAGACUCUA
RNAcentral lists this unclassified non-coding RNA (438 nucleotides) under Hevea brasiliensis (rubber tree). Lineage: Eukaryota; Viridiplantae; Streptophyta; Magnoliopsida; Malpighiales; Euphorbiaceae. The record is from RNAcentral.